Molecule: non-coding RNA, 1416 nt
Organism: Bactrocera oleae (olive fruit fly)
Lineage: Eukaryota; Metazoa; Arthropoda; Insecta; Diptera; Tephritidae
Source: RefSeq, a predicted model, not a curated record
AUAUACAUCAAAUUAAAGAAAAAAGUAUUCUAUUGUAUUUUUGGAAACUUAAAAAUAAUAAUAAAUGAAUAUGCAGGGCUAAACUUAGGGAAAUAUCUCGCAACAUACAAAAUUCGUUCCACACAACUUACCGGAAAAUUUCAAGAAGUAACGAUAGUUCUGAUCGUUGUUGAACAAACACUGAAUAUUCUUUUCUGCAUAUUAGUAAUCAUCUGUCAGUCUGCAAAAGCAAAUUUAACUUGCAGGGAUCUGAUGGUCCAAGUUUGGCGGCGACCCAACGAUGCUUACUUUCCAAAACUUAAUAGGGCAACACUAAAGCACAGGCGGUAAUGAUUUGUGGAAGCAUAUCGGGCAACCUACAUUUUGUGCAAGGUAUUAUGAAUCGUUUCCAAUAUGUUGACAUUUUAAAGGAAAAUGUAAAACAGUCAUGUGUCACAUUGGGAAUUAAAGACAAUUUUAAAUUUUUCCAAGACAACGAUGCGAAGCACUAAUCGAAGAUUGCUCGUACUUGGUUAAUAUACAAUUGCCUCAUGUAUAGGAUAACUACCCUAAUUCCCAGGUCUGAACGUUAUUGAGCACGCAGGGCAAGAAGUCAGUCGAAAAUUGAACCAAAAGAAGUAUUCCAGUGCUGCUGAGCUCCAAGAAGCUUGGAACGCAAUACCACUAGAAUUGUGUAAAAAACUUGUCACCUCUAUACCAAGGCAACUAGAAACUGUUUUAAUUGCAAAAGGAUAUGCUAAGAAAUAUUAGUAAUCAUUGGAUUUUUUAAAAAUGCGGUUAGUUGUGUGGAGCGAAUUUGUAGUACCGAAACUGAAUGACACUGACAAAAGAAUCAACAAUUUGCAGAAAAAAAAAAUAGCCCUAAAACUUUAUACCGCAUAUAUUGGCCAAUGUGGUAGUUAUUUUAAUGAAAUUGAGAGAGCGUAUUUUCCUAAUAACAGUGUAUAUUUUUGUCUAAUAUGGAUAAAAUCGUACGAAAGCUUGCCUUAGUAACAUGCAACUGAUAUUCAGGAUUUUGAAACGUCCGGCUGACUUUACUCAAUAUACUAUAUUUCUUCCAACAGGAUAACGAUCCUAAGCAUACGGCAAGAAUAGCAAAGGAAUGGUUGCUACACACCUAAACAACUGGAUCACCCGACACAAUCACCGGACCUAAACCUCAUUGAGCAUCUGUGGAAACAUUAGAACCGGAAAAUAAGGAAAAAGAGUAUACCCAGUAAAAGUUCUCUGAAGGAUAUUUUAUAAGAGGUGUGAUCCAAAAUCCAUGCAAAUGGAAGACAAACAAAGUAUUAACAUUGGAUUUUUUUAAUUUUUCUUAAACUGUACACUUUGUUUUGACGCGUAAAGUUCUGAGUAUAUUUCGUUUUGUUUGUGUUGUUUUUGUACUUGUGAAUUUUGUUUUGGAUUGCUGUUAUU